GGGGAUUCGAGCUAACUCCCAAACCCAAUGUGAACGUUACCAAACUGUUGCCUCGGCGGGAUCUCUGCCCCGGGUGCGUCGCAGCCCCGGACCAAGGCGCCCGCCGGAGGACCAACCUAAAACUCUUAUUGUAUACCCCCUCGCGGGUUUUUUUAUAAUCUGAGCCUUCUCGGCGCCUCUCGUAGGCGUUUCGAAAAUGAAUCAAAACUUUCAACAACGGAUCUCUUGGUUCUGGCAUCGAUGAAGAACGCAGCGAAAUGCGAUAAGUAAUGUGAAUUGCAGAAUUCAGUGAAUCAUCGAAUCUUUGAACGCACAUUGCGCCCGCCAGUAUUCUGGCGGGCAUGCCUGUCCGAGCGUCAUUUCAACCCUCGAACCCCUCCGGGGGGUCGGCGUUGGGGAUCGGCCCUCCCUUAGCGGGUGGCCGUCUCCGAAAUACAGUGGCGGUCUCGCCGCAGCCUCUCCUGCGCAGUAGUUUGCACACUCGCAUCGGGAGCGCGGCGCGUCCACAGCCGUUAAACACCCAACUUCUGAAAUGUUGACCUCGGAUCAGGUAGGAAUACCCGCUGAACUUAAGCAUAUCAAAGGCCCGGGAGGA
Molecule: ribosomal RNA, 595 nt
Filed under: Trichoderma harzianum
Lineage: Eukaryota; Fungi; Ascomycota; Sordariomycetes; Hypocreales; Hypocreaceae
Description: eukaryotic LSU rRNA
Rfam family: 5.8S ribosomal RNA (bases 206-359)
Source: RNAcentral